This 3310-nucleotide long non-coding RNA is filed under the name Solanum tuberosum (potato). RNAcentral describes it as "long non-coding RNA (STUB_LNC002423)". The record is from RNAcentral. Lineage: Eukaryota; Viridiplantae; Streptophyta; Magnoliopsida; Solanales; Solanaceae.
CAUCCACAAUGAGUCACGAAUGCUCCUACACCUUCGUGAUCAAGAAUCAACACUUGGGGUGCCCAUCCUCUUAUGAUUAAUCCUUUUUCUUUCGUUCUUUCCUCGAAUCCUUCAGGUAGACACGAGUCUUCGUUUUCUUGUUUGAAUUUUCUUUCUCUGAUAACCCAAAUGAAUUCUUGUCCAGAAUCUUCAAUUCCCAUUGCAAGUUCUUGAAUUUGUGAUCCAGUGAAUUUUACUCCGCUUCCAAAACAGAUGUAAACAAUAGAACUUGAUUUCUUCGAAUCAAGCCAUUUCAAGCACUCGUGUUUAUCGAUAGAGGAUUUCUUCCCUCUUUCUGUUUUAUCUUCAAUGUCCCUGUUGCACAGCGAAAGAGGCCCAAUAGCCCAUGAUUUAUUAUCUUGAACUUUGGUAUAAUGUUCAAAAUAAUCUGGUUCAAGUUCGUAGAAACUGUUGAAGAUAACUCCAUAGCUUUUCAAAUCCGCCUCCCUGACUUCAUGAAAUAUCUGGAAUAUAAUUGCCUCUUCCUCUCCUAGAUCAAACGGAGACAACUGCGUUGUGGUCAGCCUGAUUUGAUGAGGCAAAUUCGGUACAACAAAAGUUUCAGAAUCAGAUGACACAUUCUUGAAAGGCUUAUUACGUUUGAUGCUUUCCGCAACACAGAGAGCAAAGAAACCUGUGCCAUGGAAAACAAUUCUUGGAAUGUUGAAUUUGGCAGCAGAAUCAGUACUCCAAGGGAAUAACAUAUCUGAAACAAUACAAUCGGGACGACACUCUUUAACAAGAUUCUCAAAUGGUUCUUGCAUCAUAGCUGUAGCUUUGAAGAAGUUUUUGAACAAUUCAGGGGAAGGAACGAGAUCGAGGCGUUCACAUCCUUCAGGCAAAUCAUUCUCCACUGCUUGAAAUGUUAUCAAACGGAUGUCAAUUUCGAUACCCAAAUGCUUGUUUCUUUGAAUAGAAUCUGAGAAAACCGAUUCAUUGAGAGGGGUAGUGAUUAUAGUUGCCUUAACACCGCGUGAAGCGACGAGCUUAGCCAUGUCAAGUGUAGGAAUCAUGUGACCUUGAGCCAUCAGGGGAAAGAAGAAAAAAUGAAAUCGACUCAUACCUUCAAUUUUCAGUUUCUUUUUGGGAAUGAGCUUAUUCAGUUGUAAUUGAAGGAUUGCAAGAAUUACCAAAUGCAUCAUAUAUUAAUAGACUUUUUUGUUCGAAACAGGGAAACUGUUAAGAAAAAUUAUUGCCUUUGCUAUUACUCCACUUUGUAAUGUUCAUUGAAUUUUUGCCCUACAUGAUUUCAAAUUGUCGGCCACUCUUGAGCUACAUUGUUCAUCGACUCCUAUUCCCAUAUUUCUCAUUAAAAAAUUGCGCUGAGCCAAGUUACUGUUUCAAAUCCAGCAGUUUGCUGAUCAAGAAUCCUGACGACUUGGGAUUAGUGCUGUGAUGAUUGACAGAAGAACCAGGUCUUUAUCAGGUCUCAAUAAUGAGCUGGCAGUGUUUAUGAUUGACAAACAACUAUAGAAGAACAAGUUCCUUUGCAUGUCUAUUCCGAGGAACAAGUUUUAUGCACAUAGUGAAAGAUUCAAGUUCUUACUUAAAAUACGAUCGGAGACGACUGUUGAUCAAAUGCGACAAAGUAGAAAAUAUUGUCAUGAAGAACACACACAUCGAUCCAACUCUCUUGUUAGUUUUCUGGAUCUAAGUAUCCAAAAAUGACCAUUCUGGCUACUGUAUGCUUUCUACUUUAUGGCGGCGUAAAUAAAUCUCUAAGGGUCAUUUGGUAUGAGAGAUAAUAUUCCGGAAUAAAAUAUAGAAUUAUUUUAUGAUGCAUUUGGUUAGGAGUAUUAGUUAGUUCCAGAAUUAUCCAUCCCACCCAUUUAUACUAUAAUGAUGGUAUAAGCUAUAACUUUUUUCUGUCUCCCAUACCAGACAACCCCUAAGUUUUUCUUAUUUCAAUACUAUACAAACCAUAUAGUUAGUUACAAAUGUGUGAAUAGUCCUUUGAAAUUUAUAUUACGUGUAAUACUUGGUAAAAGAAAAAAAAAAGAUUACGUAACAAAAGAUCACACUUGUAGAGGGAAUAUGGUCAAACAAGAAUGACAGAAAAUGGUAGACCCAGAAAACUAUAGUCUAAACAUUGUCGGGCGACUAAUUAAAACUUAAAUGAAGGAUCCAACUAAACUUGAGAUCUGGCGUCUCAUAAUUUUGCAGCAUUCACAGAAGUCUUUGGCCUUAUGGAAGUAUUCAACAAUUGCGGAGAGACAUAUUCAAUAAAUCAAUUAGUAGUGAUUAUUCCAUUUUAAUUCUAUGUAUUAUUCACAUGUCCAAAUUUCACGACUUUGGAGCAAUUAGUCAAGAAGAGUUGUAGUUUGUUUUACUACCAUAGUACAUACGUCAUCUUCGUGUUUGUGAAUAAUAUGACGUGUGACGAAAGUUUUAUGUUGAUAAUCGAGGUAUCUGAUACGUUGAUUUCGAGAUGACUGAUCUUGGGUUGAAAUAUUCUUUUUGAAGUCAUUAAUUAUUAGAAGUGGUGACAAAAGGUAAUGAUCAAAUCAGCAAAACAGAAAACGUACACACGCAUAAUAUAGAAACAUACAUGUUUUUUUUUAAUCACUACUUAAUGACCUGUGGAAGUAUAUGAAGUUAUAUCUUGUAGCAAAGUAGCCCAUCCAUUGUAAGAUGAUCCUCCUUCUUCAAUAGCUUCUCUUGCCAUUUCCUUAUACUCUUUUGCUCUGCUUCUGAAUCCCUCUGCUUCUUCACUCGCCAUUACUCUCUUUAUCGCCUUUGCUAUUGCUUCCCUUUUCACUCCUUCACUAGCUGUUCUCUUCCAUUGCAUCGAACCAACGCCAGCUCCAGUUCUCAUUACCUCAGUCACCAACUUCUCAUUGCAAAAUUGCUCCGCAAAUACUGGCCAUGUCACCAUUGGUACCCCUGCUGAUAUUCCUUCCAGUGUCGAAUUCCAUCCACAAUGAGUAACGAAAGCUCCAAUAGCUUCGUGAUCAAGAAUCAGCACUUGGGGUGCCCAUCCUCUUAUGAUUAAACCGUUUUCUUUUGUUCUUUCUUCAAAUCCUUCAGGCAGCCAAUCUUCAUUGCCUGUUCUAAUAACCCAAAUGAAAUCUUGUCCAGAAGCUUCUAGUCCCAUAGCAAGUUCUUGCAUCUGUGCUGUAGUGAAAUCUGCUGUACUUCCAAAACAAACGUAAACAAUGGAACUUGAUUUCUUCGAAUCAAGCCAUUUCAAGCACUCGUGUUCAUCGAUAGAUGAUUUCCUCCCUCUUUCAGCUUUAUCUUCAAUGUCCCUGUUACACAACGAAAGCGGGCC